UAUUUCCCCUUCUGUUAGCAGUUUCCAUUUCAGAGCUGGCAGAGUUUUCCGUUUUCCUCCAGGGUUUCUGCGUAUGAGAAAGUCGAUUUGAUGGUCACAAGCAUGGGAUCAGCAUGGUAAACACUUUGCUUCCAGCAUGCACCGAGUGCCUCGGUUGGCAUCACUUCCAGUCUCUGGAACCACUUAACGCAGCCUCCCUUUCAGGUACCCAGUGCUACGAAAGCUGCUGGACAGCUACAACACACCACUUCAAGCUGUGUGUUCACUGUAAUUCCUCCUUUCAUUACUCCAGCGAUGGAUACCAGAUCUCCUCCAAUACCAGCCAAGAAUGCUGCAGUGCAUGCUGUGGACAGCUCCCCAGAGACCGUUGUCAAAUGUGCUUCGACAUACUAGGACAGAUUGCUGGACCAUUCGGUGUAUGAUUUCACUAAACCCCUAUCCUCUCCAAAAUCCUGCAGUGCUACCCCAUCUCAGCACAGCUCAGGGGGAUUCCUGGGUCCCUCUGCCUACAUGCAGCACCCUUCUGCUUCCUGAUCUUGUCUGGGUGAGCUCUUUGUUAUUCUAAUGUGCACUGCCGGAUGACUGAGUUCAGGCACUUUGCCCCUUAUCUGGCUUUUCCAUCUACACAUCUUCAGUUGAAAUCUGUUCCCAGGCUCUCCACAGAGCUUCCCACAGGACUCCUUCAGCCUUUCUACCUUGUCCAUUGUCAUCACUGAUUGCAAUCACAGGUAACCUGAGGUAACCUGUUUCCUUCUUGGCCUGCAUGGUGCUGUGAGCAUGAAAAGACUGCCCUUGGCAAGACUUCUGGUACCUAGUGUUUGCUUUAUUUUUAAUUUCAGUCACUAAUAAAACUUGUAUAUCACCCUACUUGGGACCCUGU
RNAcentral lists this long non-coding RNA (880 nucleotides) under Mus spicilegus (steppe mouse). RNAcentral's name for it is "lncRNA (ENSMSIG00000005732.1)". Lineage: Eukaryota; Metazoa; Chordata; Mammalia; Rodentia; Muridae. The record is from RNAcentral.